GAUGCCUAGUAACGGCGAGUGAAGCGGCAACAGCUCAAAUUUGAAAUCUGGCUCUCUUGCAGGGUCCGAGUUGUAAUUUGCAGAGGGUGCUUUGGCGUUGGCAGCGGUCUAAGUUCCUUGGAACAGGACAUCACAGAGGGUGAGAAUCCCGUAUGUGGUCGCUAGCCCUCGCCGUGUAAAGCCCCUUCAACGAGUCGAGUUGUUUGGGAAUGCAGCUCUAAAUGGGAGGUAAAUUUCUUCUAAAGCUAAAUACUGGCCAGAGACCGAUAGCGCACAAGUAGAGUGAUCGAAAGAUGAAAAGCACUUUGGAAAGAGAGUCAAACAGCACGUGAAAUUGUUGAAAGGGAAGCGCUUGCCGCCAGACUUGCCCGCAGUAGUUCAUCUAGGCGAUUUCGCCUGUUGCACUCUUCUGCGGGCAGGCCAGCAUCAGUUUGGGCAGCCGGAUAAGGGUCUCUGUCAUGUAUCUUUCUUCGGAAUGACCUUAUAGGGGAGGCGUAGUACGGUUAGCCUGGACUGAGGUCCGCGCAUCUGCUAGGAUGCUGGCGUAAUGGCUGCAAGCGGCCCGUCUUGAAACACGGACCAAGGAGUCUAACAUCUAUGCGAGUGUUUGGGUGUCAAGCCCGAGCGCGCAAUGAAAGUGAACGGAGGUGGGAACCCCUCUUGGGGGUGCACCAUCGACCGAUCCUGAUGUCUCGGAUGGAUUUGAGUAAGAGCAUAGCUGUUGGGCCCGAAAGAUGGUGAACUAUGCUGAAUAGGGUAAGCCAGAGAAACUCUGGUGGAGGCUCGCAGCGGUUCUGACGUGCAAAUCGAUCGUCAAAUUUGGCAUAGGGCGAAAGACUAUCG
RNAcentral lists this ribosomal RNA (843 nucleotides) under Aquilomyces patris. RNAcentral's name for it is "LSU rRNA". It matches the Rfam family "Eukaryotic large subunit ribosomal RNA", at positions 73 to 937 of the family's 3401-position model. The record is from RNAcentral. Lineage: Eukaryota; Fungi; Ascomycota; Dothideomycetes; Pleosporales; Morosphaeriaceae.